Molecule: non-coding RNA, 181 nt
Filed under: Candidatus Segetimicrobium genomatis
Lineage: Bacteria; Bacillati; Candidatus Sysuimicrobiota; Candidatus Sysuimicrobiia; Candidatus Sysuimicrobiales; Candidatus Segetimicrobiaceae
Description: Terrabacteria group bacterium ANGP1 6S RNA
Rfam family: 6S / SsrS RNA
About the family: E. coli 6S RNA was the first non coding RNA to be sequenced, but its function was unknown until recently. It consists of 184 nucleotides that fold into an extended hairpin structure with a large single-stranded internal bulge.
Source: RNAcentral
AGGUUCCUGCCGUGUGCGUGUAGGGCGGUAGUUCCGAUCCAACACAGACUACCGCGGGAGCCCGGGCUCUGGCCGUGGAAGGCAUGCCCCGUCUAGUCGGGGAAACCAGAAGCGGUCAGGAGGGCACCCACCUGCCUAUGCAGGUUCGGGAACUUCUGCCUCACGGCACGGCGGGGAAAUG